This 440-nucleotide ribosomal RNA is filed under the name uncultured bacterium. Its description in RNAcentral is "bacterial SSU rRNA". It matches the Rfam family "Bacterial small subunit ribosomal RNA", at positions 28 to 451 of the family's 1533-position model. The record is from RNAcentral.
GAUGAACGCUGGCGGCGUGCCUAACACAUGCAAGUCGAACGGAGUCCAGCCUUUAAGACCUUCGGGUCAAAGAGGGGAAGACUGAGUGGCGGACGGGUGAGUAACACGUGGGCAACCUGGCUCAUAGAGGGGGAUAACAGAGAGAAAUUUCUGCUAAUACCGCAUAAGCACACACUGCCGCAUGGCAGAGUGUGAAAAGAGAAUCGCUAUGAGAUGGACCCGCGUCUGAUUAGCCAGUUGGCAGGGUAAGAGCCCACCAAAGCGACGAUCAGUAGCCGAUCUGAGAGGAUGAACGGCCACAUUGGGACUGAGACACGGCCCAAACUCCUACGGGAGGCAGCAGUGGGGGAUAUUGCACAAUGGGGGGAACCCUGAUGCAGCGACGCCGCGUGAGUGAAGAAGUAUUUCGGUAUGUAAAGCUCUAUCAGCAGGGAAGAUAA